UACGUAGGUGGCAAGCGUUGUCCGGAUUUACUGGGCGUAAAGCGCGCGCAGGCGGACUGAUCAGUCUGGGGUGAAAUCUCCCGGCUCAACUGGGAGCGGUCCCUGGAUACUGUCAGUCUUGAGAGACCUAGAGGAGAGCGGAAUUCCCGGUGUAGUGGUGGAAUGCGUAGAUAUCGGGAGGAACACCAGUGGCGAAGGCGGCUUCCUGGACCAUUACUGACGCUGAGGCGCGAAAGCUAGGGGAGCAAACGGG
Molecule: ribosomal RNA, 253 nt
Filed under: uncultured bacterium
Lineage: Bacteria
Description: partial 16S ribosomal RNA
Rfam family: Bacterial small subunit ribosomal RNA
Source: RNAcentral